GGAAGACUUAAGAUGGCGGCGUUUGCACGGAGUGCAAUCACUGCGUCCUUACGGGGGUUGCAAGGCGUCCGAAGUAUGAGUCCACUAACAAAAGUCCAGAAACUCGCCAGUUAAUAGUAUUGUGUCUCUUCAAAAUAUCGGAGAAUAAUUUCUUUCUCGCUGAUCGCCUAACUUCUACUGACGAAGCUUGGAAGUUGCAGAAGAUGGAGUUCGCUCUUGUUGCCCAGGCUGGAAUGCAAUGGCAUGACCUUGGCUCACUGCAACCUCUGCCUCCCCAGUUCAAGUGGUUCUCCUGCCUCAGCCUCCCGAGUAGCUGAGAUUACAGUAGAAAAGGGGUUUCACCUUUUGGCCAGGCUGAUCUCGAACUUCUGACCUCAAGCAAUCCACCCGCCUUGGCCUCCCAAAGUGCUGGGAUUACAGGCGUGAGCCACUGCGCCCAGCCCAUAUAGAGGUACUGGCUCCUGUAUCACCCAGCUCUGGAGUUGAAAGAGCUCUUCAUUCCUGAGUCUCCUGUACCACUGAGAAUAGGCUGGAGUGCAGUGGCGCAAUCUCGGCUCUCUGCAACCUUCACCUCCCGUGUUCAAGUGAUUCUCCUGCCUCAGCCUCCUGAAUACCUGAGAUUACAAGCAUGCACCACCACGCCCGUCUAAUUUUGUAUUUUCACUAGAGACGGGGUUUCUCCAUGUUGGUCAGGCUGGUCUCGAACUCCCGACCUCAGGUGAUCCGCCCGCCUCAGCCUCCCAAAGUGCUGGGAUUACAGGCAUGAGCCACCGCGUCCAGCAAGAAUAGGUGAUUUUCAAACUUGGAAACAUUCAGAAGUUAUCGCCUCAGUUUCAGAUUGAGUAGUCUCAAAGAGAUUACAGACAUCUACCACAAAUUCUCUACUUGGUGUGGUGCAAAAUCAGUAUGAUGUAAACUUUGUCUCUCAGUUUCUUCAAAGGAAAGAAGCAACUGGAACACACAUAUAACACUAACCCUUCCAGCUGCAUUAUGAGGGACCAGUACCUGUCUCAAGGCAAAAUUAUGACUUAGUUCAUCCUCACCUCUGGAGGCCAGUAAAAGUGGGUUAUAGAAGAACAAAGAGGCAUCUAGAUCUUUCACUGGGUUAUUUGGAGAGAAACAUCUCCUACCGAAGGCCAGUUUAACAAGACUGGUAGAGGAGGUUAUCUUAUCUAAUUCACAGAAAUCAACACAUUGAGUCAAGAAAAAUGAAACACAGAAACACUCUAAAUAAAAGAAGAUAAGUCUUCAGAAACCAACCCUAAUGAAAUGAAGAUAUGUGAUUAACCUGACAGGAAAUUAAAAAGAGCAACCAUAAAGAGUCUCAUGGGAGCAAUGCAUGAACAAACUGAGAAUUUUCAUAAAGAAAUAAAAGAUAACAAAAAGUAUAAAGUUGAAGAAUACAAUAACUGGACUCAAAAAUUUAAUGUGUCCAACAGAAGAAUCGAUGAAGCAGAAGAAAGGGCUAUCAAACUUGUAGAUAGGCCAUUGGAAAUCAUGUAAUGUGAGGAGAAAAAAGAAAAAA
This is a long non-coding RNA of Homo sapiens (human), 1525 nucleotides long. Ensembl annotates it as JPX transcript, XIST activator. Its record names the gene JPX. Lineage: Eukaryota; Metazoa; Chordata; Mammalia; Primates; Hominidae. The record is from Ensembl.